GUGCAAUGGCAUAAGCUAGCUUGACUGCGAGCGUGACGGCGCGAGCAGGUGCGAAAGCAGGUCAUAGUGAUCCGGUGGUUCUGAAUGGAAGGGCCAUCGCUCAACGGAUAAAAGGUACUCCGGGGAUAACAGGCUGAUACCGCCCAAGAGUUCAUAUCGACGGCGGUGUUUGGCACCUCGAUGUCGGCUCAUCACAUCCUGGGGCUGAAGUAGGUCCCAAGGGUAUGGCUGUUCGCCAUUUAAAGUGGUACGCGAGCUGGGUUUAGAACGUCGUGAGACAGUUCGGUCCCUAUCUGCCGUGGGCGCUGGAGAAUUGAGGGGGGCUGCUCCUAGUACGAGAGGACCGGAGUGGACGCAUCACUGGUGUUCGGGUUGUCAUGCCAAUGGCACUGCCCGGUAGCUAAAUGCGGAAGAGAUAAGUGCUGAAAGCAUCUAAGCACGAAACUUGCCCCGAGAUGAGUUCUCCCUGAGACUU
This 475-nucleotide ribosomal RNA is filed under the name Klebsiella pneumoniae. Its description in RNAcentral is "partial 23S ribosomal RNA". It matches the Rfam family "Bacterial large subunit ribosomal RNA", at positions 2349 to 2823 of the family's 2925-position model. Lineage: Bacteria; Pseudomonadati; Pseudomonadota; Gammaproteobacteria; Enterobacterales; Enterobacteriaceae. The record is from RNAcentral.